UGCUGGGGGUGCUGGGGGGUGCCGGGGUCCCAGCCCCGCGCCCCCCGCAGCUCCCUGGCGCCCGGAGCACUCGUGCCUGGCCGGGGCGCGGACUCCGACCUUGCCCCGCGCUCGCCGGCUGGCCGCGGGCCCAGCGCCCAGCAGCGAAGCUCUGCAGAUCAGUGCUCCCACGAGAUAAGACGGGGUCUGCUCCCUGCUCCUCGCCGGCAGGAAAAUCAGCGAUGCCUUAAACCAGCCGGUCCUGGCGAGCACACGGUACAAUGAUCUCAGCAGCUAUUUAAUCUUGUCUUUCUCGCCAGCAGCCCUGGUAGAGGGUGGAGGGCGCCGCCUGCCCUGUAAACUGUGAAAAGGGCCUCCCCCAGGCUCUUCUUGCUCCUGCACAUGCAUCUUCCUCCCCCAGCUGCCCGUCCCGCUGCUUGCAGGAUGGCUCUGGCCAUGGCUGCGCCGGCAGGCGCUGCAGGAUGCAACGCCACGGGAGCCGUGCAGAGCCCCGACGGCUGUCCUGCUCCCGGUGUCACCGGUGCCAUGUCCUGGGCUCGGUGCACCCAGUGCUGCCGGGAAGGGGAACCGGUGGCCAGGGAAGGUGCAGGAUGUCACUCCACUGCUGCUCGACCCCACUGUUUCCCCACCGCCCUGGGGAGAGGAAAUGGCCCCAGAUUCGGGACAGCGAGCCCAUUGUGGAGCCCCACUGAAGCCCUCGGAGCUGCCCCGCUCCGGGGGCUCUUUCUCCGAGCGCCGCCGGGGGCACCAGCCCUCUGCACUGCAGUGACCGCUCUGCCCAAAGUAAACAUGGAAAAAAGCUCUAUUGCUGCCCUGGCUCCUGCUGGCG
This 829-nucleotide long non-coding RNA is filed under the name Apteryx rowi (Okarito brown kiwi). RNAcentral describes it as "lncRNA (ENSARWG00000017428.1)". The record is from RNAcentral. Lineage: Eukaryota; Metazoa; Chordata; Aves; Apterygiformes; Apterygidae.